UCGGCGGAGCCUAGAAAUAACGGCUGCUCUGCGGGGUUUCGGGUCCGCAAGGCCAACUCUUUUUCACGUUUUCCUUUUGGAUUCUUACUCUUGGGACAGCCUCGUGACGCCGGCAGAGUAAUUGUUUUUCUCCCAUAUUUACGCCCGGAGAAAUAGGAAGAGUCUUGCCUCAGCUGCCAUAGAAUUAGGAAAGGCCCAGAAUCUGUCAGUCCCGAGAAGCUUGACACCAUUUAUAAUGCUAAUGAUGGCGCUCUCUUUUGGGGAGGAGUUGCCUCCCUUUUGCAGUCACCUUAAAACACUUAGGUGUAAGUAAAGCCUAGAUAUCUAACAACAUGACGGUAAGAAACGGGAGGUCUUCCAACAAGUGUGUUACCUUGACAUAAGCAAAACUGGUGGCCUAAAUGGAUGAAUUUGAUAAAAUAUACUGAAAACCAGGAUCCACACAUGUUCACCUGCGUGCCUAGUACCCAGCGUUGUGCCUGGCCAGCAGUGGGCAGUCAAUAGAUGUUCAAUUGAAACUACAUUUCUGCCUUUCCUAUUUCCUCCCAUCAUCACUCAAGGUCUUAGAGUCCAAGUCCUUUGUGGAGCCCUCCACAUCAAGUGAGAGAAUCCAGACCCUGGCGGCUGAGAGUUCACGGUGACUGGAAUCUAAUGGAAUCUUGCCUCUGUCCAGUAGGAAUGAUUUUACCAGGCCUUAGAGAAGAUAAUUCCAUUGAUUGGGCUUGUACGUCACUUUUUAUGAGUCAGAGCCUGACAAACAAAAGCACAAACCACAAUCUUACCAGUAAUCAGAGAAAUACAAUGAAACGCCAGUAGGCCAAAACCACCCAAUAGGCAAAAAAAAAAAAAAAAAAAAGAAAGGAAAGAAAGAAAGAAAAAAAAGAAAAGAAAAGAAAAAGACAGUAUUUUGUGCUGGCAAGAGGGUGAGAAAAUGAGCCCUCAGACAUUGCUGUAAACAUGAAUUGCUGUAUCUUUUGGGAAUGCAACCUGCUAUCUAUUAAAAAAAAAAUACAGAGAUUACAUCCAGCAAUGUUAGUUUUGUUCGUUCAUCCUGUGGAAAUCAAGGUUCCAGUCUGUAAAGUCACGUGUUCAAGAAAGUUUACCACAGUGUUAUUUGUAAUUGCAAAAGCCUAAAAACAAUUUAAAUUUCUGUCAGGAAGUAUUGAAUAAAUUAUGGUUUGUCUGUACUA
Molecule: long non-coding RNA, 1190 nt
Organism: Hyaena hyaena (striped hyena)
Lineage: Eukaryota; Metazoa; Chordata; Mammalia; Carnivora; Hyaenidae
Exons: 3
Source: RefSeq, a predicted model, not a curated record